Molecule: ribosomal RNA, 665 nt
Filed under: Haloptilus ocellatus
Lineage: Eukaryota; Metazoa; Arthropoda; Copepoda; Calanoida; Augaptilidae
Description: SSU rRNA
Rfam family: Eukaryotic small subunit ribosomal RNA
Source: RNAcentral
AGAUUAAGCCAUGCAUGUCUAAGUACAAGCCUCACUAAGGUGAAACCGCGAAUGGCUCAUUAAAUCACACCUAAUCUACUGGAUAGUAGUCAGUUACUUGGAUACCUGAGGUAAUUCUUCAGCUAAUACAUGCGCACAAGCCUCGAACUUACGUGAGAGGCGCUUUUAUUAGAUCAAAACCAGUCGGCUUCGGCCGUCCCUUUGGUGACUCUGAAUAACUUUGGGCUGAUCGCAUGGCCUCGCGCCGGCGACAUAUCCUUCGAAGGUGUGCCCUAUCAACUGUCGACUGUGGCAUAGACGCCCACAGUGGUUUUGACGGGUAACGGGGAAUCAGGGUUCGAUUCCGGAGAGGGAGCCUUAAAAACGGCUACCACAUCCAAGGAAGGCAGCAGGCACGCAAAUUACCCAAUGACCGAAGGUCGAGGUAGUGACGAAAAAUAACGAUACGGGACUCAUCCGAGGCCCCGUAAUCGGAAUGAGUACACUUUAAAACCUUUCCAACGAGGAUCUAUUGGAGGGCAAGUCUGGUGCCAGCAGCCGCGGUAAUUCCAGCUCCAAUAGCGUAUAUUAAAGUUGUUGCGGUUAAAAAGCUCGUAGUUGGAUCUCGGCGGGUAGAGAGCGGUAUGCUUGCUAGCAUUACUGCUCUAUUACCCGUAGUUUUGCCA